CGUGUAACUACGGUUCGACAAAGCAGUUAAAAUCUGCGUAAAAGGAAGUUCAAAUGGCACAGCUGCAUAAGCUAAUAUGUUUUUAUAUCUGUUUUGCAUUUGUUAACACUAUCGGGUAGGUUUAGGGCUGGAUUUGGUGUAGGGCAUAUUUCCAACACGAUAGAGCAUUAACUUUUAGCGACAGUCCCCGGAUAUUUGAAUUCUGAACCGCCGCAAUACGUAUCUGAAGCAACGUAAUGAAAAAACAGCAAUACGUACCAAUAUCUACGUAAUAAAAACGUGCCAGGGUUCACAUAUUGAACCUGUGUUUUAGCGCCACUCAGUGGACAUUUCUAUUUGAAACUGCGGCGUAACGUCAAAGUGCACAGAGGUACAAAGUAAAAAGUUCUGAAUGUUCAAUAGAAUAGCAAACAAGUGGAUUUCUUGGAAGGAAAUGCUUUUGAAUGAAUUUACUUCUGUGUCAGACCAGAGAAAUGAAAGAAACACAGUGCCUCUCAUUCUGUUGCUGUGACAUCCAUGAGAGGUUAUGUAGCGCUGGGAAAGUGUGGACCGUGGGGAUUGACCUGUCACAGAUUCGCUUGGUUUAAUGUGUGUGAUCUUGUUUAGUCCCCUGACUCCCUCCAUUGUGAGACGAAUCCCAGGGCAUCAUUGUCCAUGAGCUGUCCGACAAGAAAACGGUUUUAUUGCAGCUGGAUUUGCUAUAUAUUUAUAUAUCUCCCCAUUUUUGGCAGACAUCCCAAUCCUUUUUGUCAACAGUAGGAUAUUGCAGUGCA
Long non-coding RNA from Onychostoma macrolepis, 773 nucleotides. RefSeq lists it as uncharacterized. The transcript has 3 exons. Lineage: Eukaryota; Metazoa; Chordata; Actinopteri; Cypriniformes; Cyprinidae. The record is from RefSeq and is a predicted model, not a curated record.